AUCGUCUUCCUUUUGAUUUGUCUUCCGAUCUUUCUGGAUUCUAUCUGGAUGAAGAGACUCUAAAACAUGUUGUGCGUUGGGUCCCAGGAGCCAAGAGUUUAACUAUUGAGUGCCUCUGAAUGAGGAAUGAUUCCUCCAUCAUCAAUAUUCUCGGUGAGCAUAUCGAAGAUUUGAGUUUGCUCAAAUGUACCCAGCUGUCUUACGACAUUCUGCAUGCAAUUGGAGAAAGGUGCCCCAACUUAAGGUCCUUGCUUAUAGAAUUUGCUGGGUGUGAUGCACCAGAACUUUUCAAAAGGAAGCUUGCAGAAAUGCUCCAAAAGGUCCCCUUG
Long non-coding RNA from Capsicum annuum, 329 nucleotides. RefSeq lists it as uncharacterized. The transcript has 3 exons. The record is from RefSeq and is a predicted model, not a curated record. Lineage: Eukaryota; Viridiplantae; Streptophyta; Magnoliopsida; Solanales; Solanaceae.